AUUCUUGGACAAUGUGUGCAAGCCUGAUCCAGCCAUGCCGCGAGAGUGAAGAAUGCCUUCGGUAUGUAAAGCACUUCAAGUAGGGAGGAAGGGUUGUAGAUUAAUACUCUGCAAUUCUGUCGUCACCGACAUAAUAAGCAUCCGCUAACUACGUGCCCGCAGCCGCGGUAAUACGUAGGGUGCAAGCGUUAAUCGUAAUUACUGGGCGUAAAGCGUGCGCAGGCGGUUCGGCAAGAAGGAUGUGAAAUCCCGGGGCUUAACCUCGGAACUGCAUUCUUAACUGCCGGGCUAGAGUAUGUCAGAGGGGGGUAGAAUUCCACGUGUAGCAGUGAAAUGCGUAGAGAUGUGGAGGAACACCAGUGGCGAAGGCGACCACCUGGGCUAAUACUGACACUGAGGUGCGAAAGCGUGGGGAGCAAACAGG
RNAcentral lists this ribosomal RNA (424 nucleotides) under uncultured bacterium. RNAcentral describes it as "partial 16S ribosomal RNA". It matches the Rfam family "Bacterial small subunit ribosomal RNA", at positions 360 to 776 of the family's 1533-position model. The record is from RNAcentral.